GGUAUAACGUUUACUUUAAUAUCGAAUUUAUGUAUAUAAAGGACACAUUGAUGUUUUAGUGUUAGUAUUGUGAGAGCAGUCGAACAAGAUGAAAGGGUUUGUGCUAUUCCUGGUUGUCGUGCUUCUUGCGUACACGUACGCCGCCCCACAAGCAAACAACUAUGGUAAGGUGCACGCUGCAGGUGACUCUUCAGCUACUGGCGUUGUUUCUGACUCAACUUUCGGUGACGGUGCAUUCGGUAAAGGCCAUGGUGAAAAAAGGUGCGGUAUUGUCCAACAGCUUGUUACAGUAUUUUGGAAUGUUUGUUAAUGC
Molecule: long non-coding RNA, 313 nt
Organism: Helicoverpa armigera (cotton bollworm)
Lineage: Eukaryota; Metazoa; Arthropoda; Insecta; Lepidoptera; Noctuidae
Exons: 3
Source: RefSeq, a predicted model, not a curated record